Sinocyclocheilus anshuiensis is the source of this 200-nucleotide long non-coding RNA. RefSeq lists it as uncharacterized. The record is from RefSeq and is a predicted model, not a curated record. The transcript is spliced from 3 exons. Lineage: Eukaryota; Metazoa; Chordata; Actinopteri; Cypriniformes; Cyprinidae.
AUGGUGUGGUCAGUGGAAUUCUGGUGUUUGUGGGAAAUCUGCAGGAACAUCUCCCAGCAUUCUACAACGAUGUUGCCCUGAUGAUUGAGGACAAUUGCUUGUGGCAGCUGUCUUCUCUGAACAGCAGUCUCGUGAACACCGUACUGUUUCGGCCUCAGUACACUGAAGAUCUAAGAAAACACUUCACACCCCACAACCCC